Anopheles gambiae (African malaria mosquito) is the source of this 786-nucleotide long non-coding RNA. RefSeq lists it as uncharacterized. The transcript is spliced from 3 exons. NCBI's taxonomy places the organism in Eukaryota, Metazoa, Arthropoda, Insecta, Diptera, Culicidae. The record is from RefSeq and is a predicted model, not a curated record.
GUGCCCCGUACUUUGCUGCCGUGUUCCUUCUUCUUCAAUUAUGGAAUGAUUUAUCCUUGUAAAUGUCUAAGUUACAGUGCACGCGCAUGUUAAUCGACGGUUGCCAAUAUCCCGCAAAACGAUCGACGGAAGGAAAUCGGUGUCCGGUUUUAAAAUAUAAAGAUUUCAUUACAGCUCUUUCGUAGAAGAGCGCACUUCAAGGACGCCUAGGAUACAGCUAAACAUGCGCAGCACCAGUCCGUGACGUCAUUUCCAGACAGGCGCCGGCUGAACACGCGCAGCACCAGUCGAGGAUAUCCUAGCGCAGAGGGUAGAAUGCGUGCGAACAGACGGCGUCCACAGGUCUGCCCACGCCCGAAUGCAGAGCCGAUGGCAUACGAUUCUAUCUUCACCAUUAACAUGAGAGGGACAGAGCUUAUACCCCGAACGUACCCGAAAGGUAUGCAUGCUUCACUCAUCAGGAUCUAAAGGUAAGGACAAGGCAAAAGAGACAAAGAAAAAUUUACUCACGGCUACACAUGUCCUUUUGAUGCGUUGUCUAUGCGUCUCACUCGGUAUCACAGCGGCAUACGGCAGGUAAGCAGUACAAAUGCUGCUACCUGAUACGCACACAUGUUUAUCGAACACAACUAUUCGGUUCGGUUCGGUAAACUUCACGAGGACGCCGGAACAAAAGGGCGCAGACUUUUUCAUGAUUUUGUAUGACUUCGGCUGUUUUGGACCUCGCGUGUUGUUUGUUCCUUUGUUUAUUAAUGUUUAUUCCUUUAAAUUUGUGGCGACCACGUU